This is a non-coding RNA of Dama dama (fallow deer), 581 nucleotides long. NCBI's taxonomy places the organism in Eukaryota, Metazoa, Chordata, Mammalia, Artiodactyla, Cervidae. The record is from the annotation of a RefSeq genome assembly.
GUAUAUGUGCUGCCAGGCACUCAAAGACACUGAACUCUCAGCUUGAGGCAGGACUCAGCACAUUCGUGCAGGGGAAUCCAUGCCUCAUGCCGCUCUCCAGUCUGCUCUGGGUGUUCCUGGCCUUCACCUUCUCUGGAUCUGGUGUGGCACAGAACGUUAUUCAAGACCAGCCAGACAUAUCUGGUCAACUGGGACAGUCAGUCACCCUGAACUGUCGGUAUAGAGCAACCUGGAGCUAUUACUACAUGUUUUGGUACAAGCUGCUUCCCAAUGGAGACAUGAUUUACCUUAUUGGUCAGGUUUCUACUGGCCAGAAUGCAAGGGAUGGCCGCUACUCUGUAAAUUUUCAGAAAGCUCGUAAAUCCAUCAGCCUCACCAUUUCAGACUUAGAGCUGGAAGAUUCUGCAGAGUAUUUCUGUGCUCUCUGGGAGCUCACAGUGCUUGAAGACAAGGGGCGACGUUCGUCUUCUGGCUACUUCCUGCUGAACGGAGGUGACGUGGGGGUCAGGGCCGGUUGGGACAAAAGGUCGUCCUGUAGUUCUUUAAUCUUAGUCCGGACUAUUCCAGAGCGGUUGGCAUAG